This 74-nucleotide transfer RNA is filed under the name bacterium. RNAcentral's name for it is "tRNA-Thr". It matches the Rfam family "tRNA". From Rfam's summary of the family: Transfer RNA (tRNA) molecules are approximately 80 nucleotides in length. Their secondary structure includes four short double-helical elements and three loops (D, anti-codon, and T loops). The record is from RNAcentral.
GCCCUAUUAGUAUAAUGGUAUUAUACCGGUUUUGUAAUCCGGGGACGGGAGUUCGAUUCUCUCAUGGGGCACCA